RNAcentral lists this ribosomal RNA (253 nucleotides) under uncultured bacterium. RNAcentral's name for it is "partial 16S ribosomal RNA". It matches the Rfam family "Bacterial small subunit ribosomal RNA", at positions 524 to 776 of the family's 1533-position model. The record is from RNAcentral.
UACGUAGGGUGCAAGCGUUAAUCGGAAUUACUGGGCGUAAAGCGCGCGCAGGCGGUCCAUUCAGUCGCUGGUGAAAGCCCCACGCUCAACGUGGGAAGGUCCGGCGAGACGGGUGGACUGGAGGCAGGGAGAGGUCGGUGGAAUUCCGGGUGUAGUGGUGAAAUGCGUAGAGAUCCGGAGGAACACCAGAGGCGAAGGCGGCCGACUGGACCUGACCUGACGCUGAGGCGCGAAGGCGUGGGGAGCGAACGGG